Non-coding RNA from Cinara cedri, 259 nucleotides. The record is from the annotation of a GenBank genome assembly. NCBI's taxonomy places the organism in Eukaryota, Metazoa, Arthropoda, Insecta, Hemiptera, Aphididae.
CUCUAUACAUGAAAUUCUCAAAAAAACGAAUUAAUAAUAAUAUUUAUUUAUUUUUUGCAAAAUUAGUAUUCAUACAAUAUGCAACAUUCUCUGUAAGCCAAACUUGUGAUGGGAACGGUAAUUAAGUUCAGUAGACGUAAUAACGAAGAAUAAUAUAAUUAUUUAAACAAAUAUGCCUUAUGCUAUUAAAUAUAACAGUUAUAAUUGAUGUAAAUACAAGAGAAUAUAAGAAUCAAAUAGUGCCAAAAUCUAAAUUACG